AACUGAUACUACCUGCGGGAACCUGCGGAAGGAUCAUUAAUGAGAAGCUGCCCCUCGUGGGUAGACCUCCCACCCUCUGUGAACUUACCUUUGUUGCUUUGGCAGGCCCGUCCUCUGGACCGCCGGCUUCGGCUGGCCCGUGCCUGCCAGAGGAUUCCAAACCCUGUCUGUCAGUGUUGUCUGAGUCUAUAUGAAAUCGUUAAAACUUUCAGCAACGGAUCUCUAGAUCGGAAGAGCACA
Molecule: unclassified non-coding RNA, 240 nt
Filed under: soil metagenome
Description: partial contains 5.8S ribosomal RNA, internal transcribed spacer 2, and large subunit ribosomal RNA
Source: RNAcentral